AGCCAUCGAUCCGGAGAUUUCUGAAUGGGGAAACCUACUUGAGCAAACCUCAAGUAUCCGUACGUGAAUCCAUAGCGUGCGGAAGGGAACGUUGUGAACUGAAACAUCUCAGUAGCAAUAGGAGGAGAAAGAAACAUCGAUUUCCUGAGUAGCGGCGAGCGAAAGGGAAAGAGGCCAAACCGAAGUACCUGGUUCUUCGGGGUUGCGGACCGCAUAUGUCGAUGGAGGCUAUGGUAGUCGAACUGUUUUGGGAAAGCAGACCAGAGACGGUGAAAGUCCGGUAGACGAAACCAGAAGACCCGCCGCGGGAUCC
Molecule: ribosomal RNA, 313 nt
Filed under: Anaerotignum lactatifermentans
Lineage: Bacteria; Bacillati; Bacillota; Clostridia; Lachnospirales; Anaerotignaceae
Description: partial 23S ribosomal RNA
Rfam family: Bacterial large subunit ribosomal RNA
Source: RNAcentral